Molecule: long non-coding RNA, 406 nt
Organism: Diachasma alloeum
Lineage: Eukaryota; Metazoa; Arthropoda; Insecta; Hymenoptera; Braconidae
Exons: 2
Source: RefSeq, a predicted model, not a curated record
AGUCUUUGGCAAGUCUCAGAAACUCGAGGAUACUAUGUCAAUGUUCGUGAAAUUGAUCUUUUUGGCUGUUCUGGUUGUUGCCGUGAUUGCUGUAUCACCUACACCACCUCAAGGUUGUGAACCCGGACGUCCCAAAAUCAUUGGAAACCAAAUUUGUUAUUGUGCCAGUGACGGGAUCCACCAAAUGUGCGUGGACCAAUCUUCACGGGAAGCAACACAAGAUGAAUAGUUAUUUCACUCAUGAAUUGAUAAAAAAUGACAAUAGUCAUAUACAAUAAAUGAUGACAAUAGUUAUUCAAUAGAAAAAUUUUGGGAUUAUAUAAUUUCUUGGAAUCAAUAUAGAUUCAUGACCAAUGAAAUGUAAUCAUUUUCAAGAGUGAAUAAAUUGCUCAAUUGUAUUAAUCAA